This 445-nucleotide ribosomal RNA is filed under the name uncultured bacterium. Its description in RNAcentral is "SSU rRNA". It matches the Rfam family "Bacterial small subunit ribosomal RNA", at positions 26 to 518 of the family's 1533-position model. The record is from RNAcentral.
AGAGCGAACGCUGGCGGCAGGCUUAACACAUGCAAGUCGAGCGGGCGUAGCAAUACGUCAGCGGCAGACGGGUGAGUAACGCGUGGGAACGUACCUUUUGGUUUGGAACAACUGAGGGAAACUUCAGCUAAUACCGAAUAAGCCCUUACGAGGAAAGAUUUAUCGCCGAAAGAUCGGCCCGCGUCUGAUUAGCUUGUUGGUGAGGUAAUGGCUCACCAAGGCGACGAUCAGUAGCUGGUCUGAGAGGAUGAUCAGCCACAUUGGGACUGAGACACGGCCCAAACUCCUACGGGAGGCAGCAGUGGGGAAUAUUGGACAAUGGGCGCAAGCCUGAUCCAGCCAUGCCGCGUGAGUGAUGAAGGCCCUAGGGUUGUAAAGCUCUUUGUGCGGAAGAUAAUGACGGUACCGCAAGAAUAAGCCCGGCUAACUUCGCGCCAGCAGCCGC